Molecule: long non-coding RNA, 419 nt
Filed under: Ictidomys tridecemlineatus (thirteen-lined ground squirrel)
Lineage: Eukaryota; Metazoa; Chordata; Mammalia; Rodentia; Sciuridae
Description: lncRNA (ENSSTOG00000033929.1)
Source: RNAcentral
GACAGACCUUGCCAGGGACAACUUCGAAAGGCCAUGUGCUCGUCCCCCUUAGGAAGAGGGAGAGAUCCCUGCUGCUCGGUUUUGUUCCAAUGGUCUGUUCAGCCGGCGAUGCCCGUUUCCCCAAAGGCUGCCCCUCAUUAGCAUGAACGGGGGUGGGGGUGUGGAGCAGGGGUGGGGGGAGAGAAAGCAAGCCAAAGCCCUGGCUCAUGUUAGAGCCUGGGAACCCUGUCUACAAAAAUGACAGCUAGAGCCCUCUGGCUUCUCUGUUUGAUCGUGGGAUCAUCCCCCGAAGCCCCGGUGGCGGAGAGAAAAGCCUCGCCGCCACACAACAGAAAGCCCGACCCCAGCGGCGGCGCGAGCACGGAGGAGACACCCAGACCCCAGGUGCAGCAGGUCCCGGAGGCCCCGCGACGGCCGCG